Molecule: transfer RNA, 70 nt
Filed under: Sus scrofa (pig)
Lineage: Eukaryota; Metazoa; Chordata; Mammalia; Artiodactyla; Suidae
Description: tRNA-Leu
Source: RNAcentral
ACUUUUAAAGGAUAACAGCUAUCCGUUGGUCUUAGGAACCAAAAAAUUGGUGCGACUCCAAAUAAAAGUA